GGGAGCAUCCAUGACCUUGUCUUUCCAGCCUACGGGAGAACAGCAGUGGGGAAUUUUUGGACAAUGUGGAAACCCUGGUCCAGCCAUCCCGCGUACCGAUGAAGGCCUUCGGGUUGUAAAGCACUUUGGCAGGAAAAGCGGCACAGGAUAUGCAAUGCAACUGACGGUACUGCAGAAUAACGACUAACUACAUUGCCAGCAGCCACCACGGUAAUACGCAAGAUUAGCGUUAAUCGAAUUACCGGGCGUAAAGCGUGCGCAGGCGGUUCGGAAAGAAAGAUGUGAAAUCCCAGAGCUUAACUUUGGAACUGCAUUUUUAACUACUGCGAGCUAGAAGAGUGUGUCAGAGGGAGGUGGAAUUCCGCGUGUAGCAGUGAAAUGCGUAGAUGGAGGAACGCGACCUGAAGGCGGCCCUCUGGUCUUUUACUGACGCUCAUGCACGAAAGCGUGGGAGUAAGCAGGAUUAGAUACUAAUGUAGU
RNAcentral lists this unclassified non-coding RNA (480 nucleotides) under uncultured Bordetella sp. RNAcentral's name for it is "partial 16S-23S ribosomal RNA intergenic spacer". It matches the Rfam family "Bacterial small subunit ribosomal RNA", at positions 314 to 794 of the family's 1533-position model. Lineage: Bacteria; Pseudomonadati; Pseudomonadota; Betaproteobacteria; Burkholderiales; Alcaligenaceae. The record is from RNAcentral.